This 459-nucleotide ribosomal RNA is filed under the name uncultured bacterium. RNAcentral's name for it is "partial 16S ribosomal RNA". It matches the Rfam family "Bacterial small subunit ribosomal RNA", at positions 338 to 795 of the family's 1533-position model. The record is from RNAcentral.
CCUACGGGAGGCAGCAGUGAGGAAUAUUGGUCAAUGGGCGCGAGCCUGAACCAGCCAAGCCGCGUGAGGGAUGAAGGUUCUAUGGAUCGUAAACCUCUUUUAUAAGGGAAUAAAGUGCGGGACGUGUCCUAUUUUGUAUGUACCUUAUGAAUAAGGAUCGGCUAACUCCGUGCCAGCAGCCCGGUAAUACGGAGGAUCCGAGCGUUAUCCGGAUUUAUUGGGUGUAAAGGGUGCGUAGGCGGCCUUUUAAGUCAGCGGUGAAAGUCUGUGGCUCAACCAUAGAAUUUCCGUUGAAACUGGGGGGCUUGAGUAUGUUUGAGGCAGGCGGAAUGCGUGGUGUAGCGGUGAAAUGCUUAGAUAUCACGCAGAACCCCGAUGGCGAAGGCAGCCUGCCAGGCCAUGACUGACGCUGAUGCACGAAAGCGUGGGGAGCAAACAGGAUUAGAUACCCUAGUAGUC